UAGAGCUCAACUUAUUACAUUUACCCCACUUAAUACAAGUACGAACCUGCUGUAAAUAGAAUAUAAAUAAAUAGAGCAGACAGAAGAGUAUGAAACAGGACAAUUAAACAAGUAAAAUUUGGCAAAGUCACAUGAUCCCCAUCAUUGAACCAAGCUCUUGUUCCACUGAAUAUUUGUCAGCCAACUGAUUGCAGUCACUGGAAACAUAUAUCUUCAAGUCCCUUAUAUGCACACAAUCUCUACUAGUUUGAACUUUGUCAUGCGGCUUGUCUUUGAAACUUCCUCUGAAGUCUGGCUACAGCAACGAUCACCCGAACAUAAAUCUGGUCAAUCAGGUUACCCAAGCAGCGGAAAUAAGCAUGCCUCCAGGACGUCUUUAGCAAUAAAGGUCCCCAAAAUCCCCAAAACCCAACAAUGAAGCCAAGUCCCAUACUCAUAUAGAAUGGAGGUAUGUGUAAUCCAUGCCCUGUUUCUGUUUCCAUUUUUCUGCCUACCUUCUUGUCAGUACAGUUUGGAUCUUCAUUUGAUUUAUCUUCUGAGCAAUUGUAUGCAAGGGGAGGUCCACAGAGGUUGAGAUUCCCCUGAUAUGUUGCUGCAUCAAAUGUUUGGAGCAUACUACUUGAAGGAAUUGAUCCUGACAACCUGUUAUGGGACAAAUCUAAUGAUGAAAGAAAAGUCAAGUCUGUGAUGCUGGUUGGAAUGCGGCAUGACAGUUGAUUCCUUGAUAAAUCAAGAGACUCCAUGACGCCCAUUGCACCAAUGUUUGGCGGGAUGGCCCCCACCAAAUUAUUUCUGGACAGGUUCAAGGAACUCAAUCCUAUUAGGCUUGUAAUUCCUCGAGGAAUUUCUCCAUUUAACCUAUUUGAAGAAAAAUCUAGUAACUUCACAUAUUCAAGAGUUUUGUCAAUGAUGAAUUGACAGCGAUUUGUUGUCAAGAUCACUUCCUCUAUGUAGGCAGUGUAAGGAUCAUAUAUGUAAGAACGAACAGUUUCCCGCUCAGCCAUGGACUUGAAAUUAUCCACACAACGUGGAAUCUCUCCUGAUAAACAAUUUGAAGAAAGGUCCAGGAUUUGCAGGGAUUCUAGGCGGCACAACUGCAGGGGGAUAUGCCCCUUAAAUGCAUUUGAACUCAAGCGAAGAAUCAUCAGCUUUAACAGUUUUUCACCAAUCCAUUCUGGUAUUUCUCCAGAAAGUAUAUUCCACCCAAGAUCAAGAACAAACAAACUAGUGCAAUUCUUCAAGGAUGAAGGAAUCAUCCCAGAAAGACCAUUAUCAUCAAGUCUCAAAGAAUUGAGCUUUAAAAGAUGCCCAAUCGACUCAGGGAUUUUUCCAGACAGAUUAUUGCUUGCUAAAUUUAAAAUCAACAAAUUUUUCCCAUGAGUCCAACAAUCUGGAAUCUGUCCUGAUAAAGUAUUAUUCGAAAAAUCCAGAUAUCUCAGUGAAUUAUUUACCUUCAACAUUUCACAUAAGCGGAAGAUUGGUCCAGAAAAUGAAUUUCUAGCUAGAACCACUGUACUGAUAUUGGGAGAGAGAAGAGGAAGAGGACCUGAUAAUUUAUUCGAACUCAAAUCUAUGGAUGACAAUUUUGUUUUUGAUGAUAUAUCCGGCACAGUUCCAGUAAUGUAGUUGGAAGAAAGAUUAAUAUGUCUCAUCUCUGAAGAGAGAUUCCAAAACCAGUCUGGCACAGCAUCAGAAAUUCCAUUCAUUGAGAUGUCAAUGGAAUAAAAGUGCUUUUGAGUUAGGAGCCAUUGUGGAAAUUGUGGCCCCAAUUUGCAAGAAUUUAGACCUAUGCUUUCUAGUUGAAAUGAAGGAGCCCAGCUUGAGCUAACAUUCAAUGUCAAAUUGUUACCAGAAAAGUCUAGCACUUGCAAGUUGCUGAAGUUCAGUAAUUCAGCAUCAGUGACAACACCCUUGCAUGGCCUCUGAUGAAUCUGAGCUGUGGAGAUCAAGAGAAAUGACAUGGCCUGUUUCGUUUUCGCAUCUCACUCCUCUCCAUUUGCAGCAAUCUUCUUCUGGUACCCACGAAGAGAAGCGAUCCAAAUGACUCUGAAAACCUUCUUUGAAGUUCUGAAGGGCUUUCUGCUCGCUAUCUAUGCACUGGACCUUCAACGCUGCAACAUCCAAACUGUAUUCAGUGGUUACCAUGAACACAUAUGCAAUGAAUAUGAACAUGGUUACAAGUUCAUGUAGUAUACUCCCCAUGAUCAACACAAUCCAAAGCUAAAUUUUGUUGCUUCAAAAGUAAGUAUGUUCGCAAAGGCAAUGCAAUCAGCUAAGUUGAAGAAUUCUUAUGAUCAAUGGUCUAACUAACGAGUAUUUGCUUCCAUAUUUCUUAGAAACUUCAUCCUUCGACCAUAUAUGAGAA
Molecule: unclassified non-coding RNA, 2365 nt
Filed under: Hevea brasiliensis (rubber tree)
Lineage: Eukaryota; Viridiplantae; Streptophyta; Magnoliopsida; Malpighiales; Euphorbiaceae
Source: RNAcentral